This 253-nucleotide ribosomal RNA is filed under the name uncultured bacterium. RNAcentral describes it as "partial 16S ribosomal RNA". It matches the Rfam family "Bacterial small subunit ribosomal RNA", at positions 524 to 776 of the family's 1533-position model. The record is from RNAcentral.
UACAGAGGUCUCAAGCGUUGUUCGGAUUUAUUGGGUUUAAAGGGUGCGUAGGCGGCCUUGUAAGUCAGUGGUGAAAUACUCUAGCUUAACUAGAGGGGUGCCAUUGAUACUGCAGGGCUUGAGUUAAGUUGAAGUUGGCGGAAUUGACGGUGUAGCGGUGAAAUGCUUAGAUAUCGUCAAGAACACCGAUAGUGAAGACAGCUAACUAAACUUUUACUGACGCUGAGGCACGAAAGUGUGGGGAUCAAACAGG